GACAGACGCUGGCGGUAUGCCUAACACAUGCAAGUCGAACGGACAGAACAGGGAAGCUUUUCGGAGUGGAACUGGAAAGUUAGUGGCGGAUGGGUGAGUAACGCGUGGACAACCUACCUUGUAAAGGGGAAUAACCUCGAGAAAUCGAAGCUAAUACCCCAUAAUAACCUUGCUUCGCAUGAAGUAAGGAGGAAAGGCGGCCUUAGCGCUGUCGAUACAAGAUGGGUCCGCGUCUGAUUAGCUAGUUGGUGAGGUAAAGGCUCACCAAGGCGACGAUCAGUAGCCGGCCUGAGAGGGUGAACGGCCACAUUGGGACUGAGACACGGCCCAAACUCCUACGGGAGGCAGCAGUGGGGAAUCUUCCGCAAUGGGCGAAAGCCUGACGGAGCAAUGCCGCGUGAGUGAAGAAGGCCUUCGGGUUGUAAAACUCUGUCCUUAUCGAAGAGAGAGUGUUGUAGUAACUGACAAUACUAGGACGGUAGAUGAGGAGGAAGCCCCGGCUAACUAUGUG
RNAcentral lists this ribosomal RNA (511 nucleotides) under uncultured bacterium. RNAcentral describes it as "partial 16S ribosomal RNA". It matches the Rfam family "Bacterial small subunit ribosomal RNA", at positions 28 to 507 of the family's 1533-position model. The record is from RNAcentral.